GCUGGCUUAGCACAGUGGUAGUGCGCCUGACUACGACGUGUAUAUGCUUUUCUCGUUAAUCAGGAGGUCGAGGGUUCGAACCCCUUAGUCGGUU
Non-coding RNA from Kwoniella botswanensis, 94 nucleotides. Lineage: Eukaryota; Fungi; Basidiomycota; Tremellomycetes; Tremellales; Cryptococcaceae. The record is from the annotation of a RefSeq genome assembly.